RNAcentral lists this ribosomal RNA (775 nucleotides) under uncultured Neocallimastigales. Its description in RNAcentral is "partial large subunit ribosomal RNA". It matches the Rfam family "Eukaryotic large subunit ribosomal RNA", at positions 23 to 626 of the family's 3401-position model. The record is from RNAcentral. Lineage: Eukaryota; Fungi; Neocallimastigomycota; Neocallimastigomycetes; Neocallimastigales.
AGAGAGAGACAUGCGCGCAUAUCAAUAAGCGGAGGAAAAGAAACUAACAAGGAUUCCCUUAGUAACGGCGAGUGAAGCGGGAAGAGCUCAAAUUUGAAAUCUUCAAGGUUUUACCUUGACGAAUUGUAGUUUAAAGAAGUGUUUUCUGCUGAAGUUUUGGUAAAAGUUCUUUGGAAUAGGACAUCAUAGAGGGUGAGAAUCCCGUAUUUGACCAUUAUUUUCAGCUUUGUGAUACACUUUCAAAGAGUUGGAUUGUUUGGGAAUGCAGUCCAAAAUGGGUGGUAAAUUUCAUCUAAAGCUAAAUAUUGGCGAGAGACCGAUAGCGGACAAGUACCGUGAGGGAAAGAUGAAAAGAACUUUGAAAAGAGAGUUAAACAGUACGUGAAUUUGUCAAAAGGGAAGCGUUUGACACCAGUGUUGUUUUCUCGAAAAUCAAUUAAAAAUGGCUCGAUUUUGUAUUGCUUGAGACCUUAAAAGCUCACUGUACAUUUUUCGUGUCUUUUUUAAUGCACUUUUCGUUUAACAAGUCAACAUCAGUUUCUUUUGUUGUAAAAGGGUCAUUGGAAGGUGGCUUUCUUUUCGGAGAAAGUGUUUAUAGCCUUUGGCCUCUGCAAUCGAAGAGACUGAGGUCUGCAGCGUAGACUCUUCGGGGUUAGAUACAUUUGUGCUAAGUUAUAGCUUUUUAUAGACAACUUGUUGACUAUAAUUAGUCUUGUAGCUUACUCGCUUAUGCUAUUUUACCUACGCUUAGGAUGUUGAGUCGUAGAGCACGCAG